RNAcentral lists this ribosomal RNA (494 nucleotides) under uncultured bacterium. RNAcentral's name for it is "partial 16S ribosomal RNA". It matches the Rfam family "Bacterial small subunit ribosomal RNA", at positions 28 to 507 of the family's 1533-position model. The record is from RNAcentral.
GACGAACGCUGGCGGCGUGCUUAACACAUGCAAGUCGAACGGUGAAGCGCCUUCCUUUUUGGUGGGUGUGGAUGAGUGGCGAACGGGUGAGUAACACGUGAGUAACCUGCCCCCUUCUUCUGGAUAACCGCAUGAAAGUGUGGCUAAUACGGGAUAUUCUGGGUCUGUCGCAUGAUGGGUCUGGGAAAGAUAUUGUUUCGGUGGGGGAUGGGCUCGCGGCCUAUCAGCUUGUUGGUGGGGUGAUGGCCUACCAAGGCGGUGACGGGUAGCCGGCCUGAGAGGGUGGACGGUCGCACUGGGACUGGGACACGGCCCAGACUCCUACGGGAGGCAGCGGUGGGGAAUAUUGCACAAUGGGCGCAAGCCUGAUGCAGCGACGCCGCGUGAGGGAUGGAGGCCUUCGGGUUGUGAACCUCUUUCGCCAGUGAAGCAGGACUGCCUCGUUUGUGGGUGGGUUGACGGUAGCUGGAGAAGAAGCGCCGGCUAACUACGUG